UAAAGGAACUUAUUGCCACAGCGAUAAGAGUUUUUAUUGCUUCCCGGAAUAAUUUAUGGUUGAAAUUAAUUAUGCGAAAUAAGUAAUUUGCGCGCGCAAGUUAAUUUAGGUAUAGUCACGUGACUGGAAAUUUCGGUAUUUAUCAGUGGUGAAGCGGGCUAUCUGUCCUUUCCUAUUCCACGAGGGCUGCAGUUCACAUCAAGAAAUUGGAUGGAAGAGAAUUACCCACCCUCCUCCCCGUUGUUGGACGCGAUAUGUUGAACUUAUAUAGAUACGUUAUGUGUAGUGGGCGUUAGUAAUGCCCCCACCUUGUCUGUGCUAAAUGUUAUAUAGUUAUUAAUUAAUAAUUUUUCUUGUUAAUUAUUAAAAAUUGAUUAAAACAAUAAAGCGGCUAUGUGCCAACAACCGGGCACAUAAGCCAUAAUUAUGCCAUAAAGGCUUUGACUGGUCUCGUAGUAUUCGGC
Paramuricea clavata is the source of this 464-nucleotide non-coding RNA. NCBI's taxonomy places the organism in Eukaryota, Metazoa, Cnidaria, Anthozoa, Malacalcyonacea, Plexauridae. The record is from the annotation of a GenBank genome assembly.